GGACAGAUGCUCGAGUGGUUGAAGAGGCACGCCUGGAAAGCGUGUAUGCGUCAAAAGCGCAUCGGGGGUUCGAAUCCCUCUCUUUCCG
This 88-nucleotide transfer RNA is filed under the name Prevotellaceae bacterium. RNAcentral describes it as "tRNA-Ser". It matches the Rfam family "tRNA". Rfam says of the family: Transfer RNA (tRNA) molecules are approximately 80 nucleotides in length. Lineage: Bacteria; Pseudomonadati; Bacteroidota; Bacteroidia; Bacteroidales; Prevotellaceae. The record is from RNAcentral.